Molecule: ribosomal RNA, 253 nt
Filed under: uncultured bacterium
Lineage: Bacteria
Description: partial 16S ribosomal RNA
Rfam family: Bacterial small subunit ribosomal RNA
Source: RNAcentral
UACGGGGGGAGCAAGCGUUGUUCGGAUUUACUGGGCGUAAAGGGCGCGUAGGCGGCCUGCUAAGUCGAACGUGAAAUCCCUGGGCUCAACCCAGGAACUGCGUCCGAUACUGGUUGGCUUGAAUCCGGGAGAGGGAUGCGGAAUUCCAGGUGUAGCGGUGAAAUGCGUAGAUAUCUGGAGGAACACCGGUGGCGAAGGCGGCAUCCUGGACCGGCAUUGACGCUGAGGCGCGAAAGCCAGGGGAGCGAACGGG